UGUACUGGAAAGUGCACUUGGUAU
This 24-nucleotide ribosomal RNA is filed under the name Squatina squatina (angelshark). RNAcentral's name for it is "partial 12S ribosomal RNA". Lineage: Eukaryota; Metazoa; Chordata; Chondrichthyes; Squatinidae. The record is from RNAcentral.